This 253-nucleotide ribosomal RNA is filed under the name uncultured bacterium. Its description in RNAcentral is "partial 16S ribosomal RNA". It matches the Rfam family "Bacterial small subunit ribosomal RNA", at positions 524 to 776 of the family's 1533-position model. The record is from RNAcentral.
GACGAAGGGGGCUAGCGUUGUUCGGAAUUACUGGGCGUAAAGGGCGCGUAGGCGGCUCGUUUAGUCGGGUGUGAAAUCCCGGGGCUCAACCCCGGAACUGCAUUCGAUACUGGCGGGCUAGAGACCGGAAGAGGUGGGUGGAAUACCCAGUGUAGAGGUGAAAUUCGUAGAUAUUCGGAGGAACACCAGUGGCGAAGGCGGCUCACUGGCUCGAUACUGACGCUGAGGUGCGAAAGCGUGGGGAGCAAACAGG